Molecule: ribosomal RNA, 460 nt
Filed under: uncultured bacterium
Lineage: Bacteria
Description: partial 16S ribosomal RNA
Rfam family: Bacterial small subunit ribosomal RNA
Source: RNAcentral
CCUACGGGUGGCAGCAGUGAGGAAUAUUGGUCAAUGGGCGGAAGUCUGAACCAGCCAAGUAGCGUGAAGGAUGACUGCCCUACGGGUUGUAAACUUCUUUUAUAUGGGAAUAAAAUGUUCCACGUGUGGGAUUUUGUAUGUACCAUAUGAAUAAGGAUCGGCUAACUCCGUGCCAGCAGCCGCGGUAAUACGGAGGAUCCGGGCGUUAUCCGGAUUUAUUGGGUUUAAAGGGAGCGUAGGUGGAUUGUUAAGUCAGUUGUGAAAUGUUGCGGCUCAACCGUAAAAUUGCAGUUGAAACUGGCAGUCUUGAGUCCGCUGGAGGUGGGCGGAAUUCGUGGUGUAGCGGUGAAAUGCUUAGAUAUGACGAAGAACUCCGAUUGCGAAGGCAGUUGACUGGAGUGGAACUGACACUGAGGCUCGAAAGUGUGGGUAUCAAACAGGAUUAGAUACCCUUGUAGUC